Molecule: ribosomal RNA, 497 nt
Filed under: uncultured bacterium
Lineage: Bacteria
Description: partial 16S ribosomal RNA
Rfam family: Bacterial small subunit ribosomal RNA
Source: RNAcentral
GAUGAACGCUGGCGGCGUGCCUAAUACAUGAAAGUCAAGCGAACAGACGAGGAGCUUGCUCCUCUGACGUUAGCGGCGGACGGGUGAGUAACACGUGGAUAACCUACCUAUAAGACUGGGAUAACUUCGGGAAACCGAAGCUAGUACCGGAUAAUAUAUUGAACCGCAUGGUUCAAUAGUGAAAGACGGUUUUGCUGUCACUUAUAGAUUGAUCCGCGCGGCAUUAGAUAGUUGGUAAGGUAACGGCUUACCAAGGCAACGAUGGGUAGCCGACCGGAGAGGGGGAUAGGCCACACGGGAAGUGAGACACGGUCCAGACUCCUAAGGGAGGCAGCAGUAGGGAAUCUGCCGCAAUGGGCGAAAGCAUGACGGAGCAACGCCGCGUGAGUGAUGAAGGUCUUCGGAGCGUAAAACUCUGUUAUUAGGGAAGAACAAAUGUGUAAGUAAAUAUGCACGUCUUGACGGUACCUAAACAGAAAGCCACGGCUAACUACGUG